RNAcentral lists this ribosomal RNA (492 nucleotides) under uncultured bacterium. Its description in RNAcentral is "partial 16S ribosomal RNA". It matches the Rfam family "Bacterial small subunit ribosomal RNA", at positions 29 to 507 of the family's 1533-position model. The record is from RNAcentral.
AGUGAACGCUGGCGGUAGGCUUAACACAUGCAAGUCGAACGGCAGCACAGUAAGAGCUUGCUCUUACGGGUGGCGAGUGGCGGACGGGUGAGGAAUACAUCGGAAUCUACUUUUUCGUGGGGGAUAACGUAGGGAAACUUACGCUAAUACCGCAUACGACCUACGGGUGAAAGCAGGGGAUCUUCGGACCUUGCGCGAUUGAAUGAGCCGAUGUCGGAUUAGCUAGUUGGCGGGGUAAAGGCCCACCAAGGCGACGAUCCGUAGCUGGUCUGAGAGGAUGAGCAGCCACACUGGAACUGAGACACGGUCCAGACUCCUACGGGAGGCAGCAGUGGGGAAUAUUGGACAAUGGGCGCAAGCCUGAUCCAGCCAUACCGCGUGGGUGAAGAAGGCCUUCGGGUUGUAAAGCCCUUUUGUUGGGAAAGAAAAGCAGCAGGUUAAUACCCCGCUGUUCUGACGGUACCCAAAGAAUAAGCACCGGCUAACUUCGUG